Long non-coding RNA from Acinonyx jubatus (cheetah), 1599 nucleotides. RefSeq lists it as uncharacterized. The transcript is spliced from 3 exons. The record is from RefSeq and is a predicted model, not a curated record. NCBI's taxonomy places the organism in Eukaryota, Metazoa, Chordata, Mammalia, Carnivora, Felidae.
UCGUGGCGUGCUCCCGCCGCUCUUCUGCAGGGCGCCAGGAUCACCGCCAGGAUAGCUAUUCUGGUGUCUGGUGAUGCCACAGCUCUUGCGGCUUCUGUCAGGCGAGACCUCUACAUCGCCUGGCUCUGGUGGUCAGUGGGGCUUAUGCUCGUGGAUCCUACAGGACUCUCAACAACAGAGAAAGAGUUAUUUAACGGCCAGGAUCUCCAGAGCGCAGCAAGAGGCAACAGACGAAGCAGCUUGUAUUCACUUAUUGUGAAGGAAAUCUGAUUUGAUUUACAGAAAUCAUUGCCUAGCCAUUCUGCCAAGUUCCUCAGUCCAGCCCCUCUGUGACUUCUUGAAGCACAUUUCCAAAACCCUACUUACAUCAUGGUGUUACCUGAUGAUGGGCUCCAGCAUUUCUUCAUGAAACCAAUAAUCAGAGAUUUCUUUCUUUAAAUCAGAGAUUUAAAUAUUGAUUGUUUAAAUAAACUAAAAUGGAAUGUUUAGAAUGAGGACUUGGCUGCUUAAAGCUUAUCUGUUAAAAAUUAUCAAAUAGGUUUAUGAUGACUACUAAUUGUGAUUUAUAUUAAAUUACAUUCAGGUGUGAAAAUGAGUAGGGAAAAAAGUAUGAUUUCUAAUUGAUAAUAACCUCUGAUAUAAUGAAAAUCAUUUAAAUGUAACAUAUAAAUACUUUUAAUUAAUAUAUUGUGUUGGUUAAGGUAUAUUAGUAGUGAUAGAAGCAACACUAGUGAGGCACUUGGCUGUCUCAGUUGGUGAGCAUGCGACUCUUGCUCUCAGGGUUGUGAGUUUGAGCCCCACGUUGAGUUUGGAAAUUACUUAAAAAUAAAAUCUUAAAAAAAGCAAAGUAACACUGGUGGCAAUGAUAGUAGGUAUUUGAUGGAAUACAUACUGAUUGUGACAAGGACCUUACAUACGUUGUCCCUAUGACAUAGGUACUAAUACCAUCCUACAAUUUAUAGCCUUAUCUUAAUUAUCUUAAUUUCACAAAUUAGCCUAUAGCCUUUUUUUUCCCAGAUCCUAAGUAACUAUCAGCCCUCUAUUUUUAUCAAUCAAUAAAAAUCUCAUGUUUCUUGCUCUUCCCAUAUAGGCAUGUGCAAUACAGCAGCUUAGGGAAAUAAAAUAUCUUCUAUUGUGAAAUAUUACACUUCUCUAAAUCAAGAUUUAUUAUAGCUGUUUGAAGCUUCCACCUGGGGGAAUUUUCUGUCAUACAAGUCAAAGAACUUCUAUUUGUUCUGCCUAGUUUAGCUUUUCUCUCGACUUUGCUGAAUAAAAUAAAAAGAUGUGACAAAAGGAGACAUUAAUAUCCACAAAUCCAUCUCUGCAGAAGUGAAAAUCGGUAGCUUUUAUGAUUCCUUUGGCAAGAGACUCCUUUUAAAAGGGAGUAGCAAUUAUAAAUAAUACUAAUAGCUGGGGCUCUAGUAAUAGUAGUCCAUUUAUCUUAGAACUUUUUUAUGUACUUUUAUUUUUCCAUGUGAAUCAAGAUAGAAUAAAGUUCGUACUAUCUUUAUUAUAGGUGUGAUGUAGAAGUGGGUUAGGAAAAAAAAUGUAAGUAAUUUUUUUUGUCUGUUACAGUGUGCCAUAAAGAAUCAUCAAGCA